Long non-coding RNA from Panthera uncia (snow leopard), 1733 nucleotides. RefSeq lists it as uncharacterized. NCBI's taxonomy places the organism in Eukaryota, Metazoa, Chordata, Mammalia, Carnivora, Felidae. The record is from RefSeq and is a predicted model, not a curated record. The transcript has 2 exons.
GGCCGGCUCCCCGCGGCCCUGCCCGCCGGCUCCAGCGCAGUCUCGAGAGCAACAGGUUAAGCCGACGAGACGUCACCGCGCCCCCUCCCCGCCCCCCGGUUCUCCCCCCGCCUCGCGCCGGCCUCCCCCUCCUCCUUCCACCCCCCCCUCCCCCGUCGCUCCGGGUUCCCGGACGCUCCCGGCCGCGUUCUGUUGUCAUUGUGACGUCACAAAGGGACGGGCCCGGGUGGAACCUUCUCCUCCUCCUCCGUGACGUCAAAAGUCGGGCGGGAGGUUCCACGCGGCGGGGCGGUCGGGGGAGGAGGGAACGGGCGGAGGCGGGGGCGGCCGCGGAGCAGGGCUGCGGCGUGGGAGGAGGAAGAGGAGGAGGAGAAGGAUGCGAUCGGCCUCCGCCUUCCGCCCCGAAAUGCUGCGCUUCCCUGCAGGUCUGCUGAUGGCGUGGCUGAUGGUCUGCUGCGGUGGUCGUUGUGAUCGCUCAGCAACGCUUUUGAAAAAAGCAAGGAAACUUUAUUCAGGGAAAAGCUUUGCUCUGUAAGAAGGACUGUGUUGUGGAUUUGGCCACCUUGUCACUUGAAGUCAUGUUUGGGGUGCCUUUGGGGGAUGGGACGGGAUGCCUUUCUGGGUGAUGCUGUUCAGCAGCAACUGUUGCUCUUUCUGGAAGCCUUGUAAUACUGUGGAGGGGGUGGCGCUCCUCCUCUGCUGUGCCAGCUCUGUGCUGUAUCUUUUUUGGGGGCCCGGGCGAGGUAAGAUUUGUCAUGUAUAUGUAUUCUUAGAAGAGCACUGGACAGUGAAGUCCCCGGGUACUCUGUGCUUAGUACUUUUGAACGGUGGAACGAGAGGCUUGGAAUCUGAGUGUGUUUGUAUUUACUGUUCUGUAAAAUGGAAAUGGUAACACCUGACCUGCUUUUGCCCCGCACUUUAUCUGAGAGGCUCACGUGUGUGAGAGAUAAUGUGCGCGAAAGAUGUAAAACAGUGUGCUCUUUCUGUGUAAGGUGGUAUUAUCAAGCUGGUGGAAGGCAGCACUUUUCUUACAAUUGGUCUCAAAAGCCUUAGAUGCGUGCAGCGUUGCCAUUUUAGUUUAUUGCCUUAACAAGGCAGAGUUUGGGGGUGGGAUUGUCGAUGGCAGACCUUGGGAGAAAUGAUUGUUGUAUUUCAUAUUAAAUGGCAUCCUUGAGAAACUCAUAAAUUGUAAGGUAAUCCUGUCUUAAUUGUGCCGGGCACGACCCCUCCCCCCCCAAUACCUUAAAUAACUGAAAACAGUUGCCUUUCAAAGCGCCAUUCCACUUGGACAAUAAAAACAGUAGCUGUCUUGCUCUAUGGAUGUUUUCUACCAUUUCCUUCACUCUGCUGGUGGGGUUAUUCCUAGGGAAAAUAACGGAUAUGAUAUCCAAGGUUCAAAACCAUUGGGUCUUUGAUGCUUUAUAGCAGGUAUGCGUUUGAAAUAAAAAUCCCUGCCACGUGAAUAAAAAAUUCUAUGACGCACGCACUGAGCUCAAAAACAAAUUACUGGUUUGAUUCCUAGGACAGCUCAAGCGGAAUUUGUAGCACCAGGCUGUAAGGGUUUUAAGUAUCUAAUUUUCUGAUGUAAAAGUGCAGCAUAAUUAAACAAGACUGGAAAAAGUUCAUGUUACAAGGUUCAAAAGCAGGAUUUGCCAUAAUUACAAUUUCAUAAAAUUCUAAAGAAAAAAGUAGAAGCACACCAAAAUGUAGUGGAAGGAUUUAUGAGCCCCCCC